Long non-coding RNA from Carassius carassius (crucian carp), 400 nucleotides. RefSeq lists it as uncharacterized. NCBI's taxonomy places the organism in Eukaryota, Metazoa, Chordata, Actinopteri, Cypriniformes, Cyprinidae. The transcript has 2 exons. The record is from RefSeq and is a predicted model, not a curated record.
UGAGUUGUAGCUGAUUGAAGGAGUACAUAUCUGUGUCCUGCAAUAAUCAGAUUUUAAAUACUGUUCUUGUUUCCAGUUAUUGCUUCAUUAUACACAAUAAUGGGGUAGUUGGUCACUUAUAAAUAAAGAUAAUUGAUUUUUUCCUUUUAAGGUCCAUCUUCCGAGUUUCACAGUUUUCUCCAACUUUCCACGGUUCCAGAAGAAGACGAUAUUUCGAGCCCGUUGUCUGGAUUUCUCCCCACAGAGUGGAUUCUACACUGUGGCCAAUAACAAAGGCAGUGCUCUGCUCUUCAGGCUUCUGCAUUAUACUGACUUCUAGAGAUGAAGACUCCAGACGGCUGACGGCUCAUGGGUUCUUAUGAUUACUCUUCAAUAAAGCUUUGCCAUAUAACUCUCAGAA